This 133-nucleotide non-coding RNA is filed under the name Erythranthe guttata (spotted monkey flower). RNAcentral describes it as "Mimulus guttatus (spotted monkey flower) Eukaryotic small subunit ribosomal RNA". It matches the Rfam family "Eukaryotic small subunit ribosomal RNA", at positions 1190 to 1479 of the family's 1831-position model. Lineage: Eukaryota; Viridiplantae; Streptophyta; Magnoliopsida; Lamiales; Phrymaceae. The record is from Rfam by way of RNAcentral.
UUAAUUUGACUCAACACGGGGAAACUUACCAGGUCCAGACAUAGUAAGGAUUGACAGACUGAGAGCUCUUUCUAUUUUUAUUUUUUUGAUUGAAGAUGUAAAUAAUAUAAAUAAAAAAAAAAGGUCGUAGACA